AACAACCAAUAACCAAUUGCCAAAAUAAUUCAAGCACCAUGCAAGAAAAAAAAAAGAGAAAAUUUUAAAAAUUUUAUAGAUUUUUGAACAGAUUUUGAAGCAAACAUAAAAUAAAAAAAUAAAACACAUAAAUUAAAAUUUCUAUGUACGCCACAUAAAAUAAAAAAACAAAACACAUAAAUUAAAAUUUCUAUGUACACCCCCUACACUUAAGUUACAUAUUGUCCUCAAUGUGUCCCAACUAAAGAUAAAGUUUCAGAAGACUUACCUUAUCCAAUGUAAGAACAGAAAAAUGGUGGAGUAGUCCUCAAACUUCGUUGAAGCUCUCACUGUUGUGUAGCUCUUGAUGCAUAGACCUACAAAGAAAAACAAAACAAACACAC
Molecule: long non-coding RNA, 383 nt
Filed under: Gossypium raimondii (Peruvian cotton)
Lineage: Eukaryota; Viridiplantae; Streptophyta; Magnoliopsida; Malvales; Malvaceae
Description: long non-coding RNA (GRAI_LNC006267)
Source: RNAcentral